This is a long non-coding RNA of Exaiptasia diaphana, 1223 nucleotides long. RefSeq lists it as uncharacterized. The record is from RefSeq and is a predicted model, not a curated record. The transcript is spliced from 2 exons. Lineage: Eukaryota; Metazoa; Cnidaria; Anthozoa; Actiniaria; Aiptasiidae.
AUCAGCCCAAACUUGGGAGUCACUGAGCUUAAACCACGAGAAUCAGUAGCUGCUGUGAAAGAUAUUUCACUUCCAGCUACAUCGUUGACAGAUCAAGCUCUAUUGGAUGCAGAAAUUACACUUUAUUCUUGUCUGGGCAAAAGAAUUCAAAAGACGUCUAGUAGRAGUCUCGUCAAUCCACUGAMCAUGCUCUUUCGUGACGGAGAUUCCCAGCAUUUUGUCCCUUUGUGUCUAUGUACGGAAACCAUCAACUGUCCUGUUCAUCCAAACAUCGGCAAGUAACACACGAAUUUGGGAAGUAAAUCUUAGCUUGUCGCAUCAACGAAGGUUCCAGACGCACUGCGGAUCAUUUCAGUACUACAAGACAACUUAUUCCUGUAUUUCGUAUAAAGAAACAUUUGGUCAUUUAAAAAUAACAAGCAACUCAUCAAGAAUGUGUUACCGAGCGAGAAGCCAAAAUUUGRUGAAAGAUCCUAAUCAUGAUUGGUUCUCAUAAAAGCUGAUAAGAAAUGAAGAAACAAGAAAAAUAAGUUGUUUGUAGAGUUGGUAUUGUAACCCAGUUAAGAUUGCAUCUACUGGAACUGGUGGAACCUGGAGUGCAAGUAACUGCAAUUUUAAUGCUUUAUGACGUUUCUUCAUCACUGGCAUCGAUCUUUGCUGGACUGCGAAUAUCUGGGGUGUCUUUCAUAUACUCGCGAAACAAAAAGGAUUUAUUAUUUGGGAACAACAGAAUAAAGAGAUAUAUCGUUUCAGGGGACCAUAAAACAAUCCAAUGCCAGUGAAAGGAAAAUAGUACGUUUGGCUUUAAUAGUAAUACAAAUUCCGUUCUAAUUAAGGUUUAUAUCAAGAAAUGRCGUACACAACUUUUAGCACAACCUCGUURCGUGAAAAWGUAUGUCAUACUUAGUUUUUGAUUUGAACUCAAGAUGACAACUGAAAUUUGUAUUAUAAAUAGGGAAGCUGAGUGAUAGCAAUUCUAUGUUCUGAUAUCUCAUAAGAGACUUACAAAGUUUUUUUUAGACCUCCAAGUUGUAGUCGAAGAGGAUUACAACAAAAUUAUGUGAUGCACAUGAAGAAAACUAUUCAGCUUGAAUUUUCGUUGUAUGUUAUAAACCUAGAGAUCUUUUACAAAGAGUAUAAGAUUGGGUGCGUUGUAGAGUGUAGAUGAAGAAACACUGCCUUCUAGUCUUUCGCACUCUAUUUAAUAAAUUUAUUUUAAUAUU